This 212-nucleotide ribosomal RNA is filed under the name uncultured Sphingobacteriales bacterium. RNAcentral's name for it is "partial 16S ribosomal RNA". It matches the Rfam family "Bacterial small subunit ribosomal RNA", at positions 1174 to 1382 of the family's 1533-position model. Lineage: Bacteria; Pseudomonadati; Bacteroidota; Sphingobacteriia; Sphingobacteriales. The record is from RNAcentral.
GGGGAGUGACGUCAAGUACCUCAUGGCCCUUAUCGCCCAGGGCUACACACGUGCUACAAUGGCCGAUACAGAGGGCAGCUACCUGGUGACAGGAUGACAAAUCUCCAAAGUCGGUCUCAGUUCGGAUCGGAGUCUGCAACCCGACUCCGUGAAGUUGGAUUCGCUAGUAAUCGCGCAUCAGCCAUGGCGCGGUGAAUACGUUCCCGGGCCUU